Molecule: long non-coding RNA, 117 nt
Organism: Drosophila willistoni
Lineage: Eukaryota; Metazoa; Arthropoda; Insecta; Diptera; Drosophilidae
Exons: 2
Source: RefSeq, a predicted model, not a curated record
CAGUGUGACGUUGAGAGAAUUGGUCUCUCUAUCUCGCUUCCUCUCUCUCUGGUUGUCCUUUCGGUUAAGAACUCGUCCGGCUCGACAUUCAAUAAUGCAAAACGAACGACUUGAAUU